UGAACGCUAGCUACAGGCUUAACACAUGCAAGUCGAGGGGCAUCAGGAAGAAAGCUUGCUUUCUUUGCUGGCGACCGGCGCACGGGUGAGUAACACGUAUCCAACCUGCCCUUUACUCGGGGAUAGCCUUUCGAAAGAAAGGUUAAUACCCGAUAGCAUAAUGAUUCCGCAUGGUUUCAUUAUUAAAGGAUUCCGGUAAAGGAUGGGGAUGCGUUCCAUUAGGUUGUUGGUGAGGUAACGGCCCACCAAGCCUUCGAUGGAUAGGGGUUCUGAGAGGAAGGUCCCCCACAUUGGAACUGAGACACGGUCCAAACUCCUACGGGAGGCAGCAGUGAGGAAUAUUGGUCAAUGGGCGCUAGCCUGAACCAGCCAAGUAGCGUGAAGGAUGAAGGCUCUAUGGGUCGUAAACUUCUUUUAUAUAAGAAUAAAGUGCAGUAUGUAUACUGUUUUGUAUGUAUUAUAUGAAUAAGGAUCGGCUAACUCCGUGCCGGCAGCCGCGGUAAUACGGAGGAUCCGAGCGUUAUCCGGAUUUAUUGGGUUUAAAGGGAGCGUAGGUGGACUGGUAAGUCAGUUGUGAAAGUUUACGGCUCAACCGUAAAAUUGCAGUUGAUACUGUCAGUCUUGAGUACAGUAGAGGUGGGCGGAAUUCGUGGUGUAGCGGUGAAAUGCUUAGAUAUCACGAAGAACUCCGAUUGCGAAGGCAGCUCACUGGACUGCAACUGACACUGAUGCUCGAAAGUGUGGGUAUCAAACAGGAUUAGAUACCCUGGUAGUCCACACAGUAAACGAUGAAUACUCGCUGUUUGCGAUAUACAGUAAGCGGCCAAGCGAAAGCAUUAAGUAUUCCACCUGGGGAGUACGCCGGCAACGGUGAAACUCAAAGGAAUUGACGGGGGCCCGCACAAGCGGAGGAACAUGUGGUUUAAUUCGAUGAUACGCGAGGAACCUUACCCGGGCUUAAAUUGCAGUGGAAUGAUGUGGAAACAUGUCAGUGAGCAAUCACCGCUGUGAAGGUGCUGCAUGGUUGUCGUCAGCUCGUGCCGUGAGGUGUCGGCUUAAGUGCCAUAACGAGCGCAACCCUUAUCUUUAGUUACUAACAGGUUAUGCUGAGGACUCUAGAAAGACUGCCGUCGUAAGAUGUGAGGAAGGUGGGGAUGACGUCAAAUCAGCACGGCCCUUACGUCCGGGGCUACACACGUGUUACAAUGGGGGGUACAGAAGGCAGCUAGCGGGUGACCGUAUGCUAAUCCCAAAAUCCUCUCUCAGUUCGGAUCGAAGUCUGCAACCCGACUUCGUGAAGCUGGAUUCGCUAGUAAUCGCGCAUCAGCCACGGCGCGGUGAAUACGUUCCCGGGCCUUGUACACACCGCCCGUCAAGCCAUGGGAGCCGGGGGUACCUGAAGUACGUAACCGCAAGGAUCGUCCUAGGGUAAAACUGGUGACUGGGGCUAAG
This 1452-nucleotide ribosomal RNA is filed under the name uncultured organism. RNAcentral's name for it is "SSU rRNA". It matches the Rfam family "Bacterial small subunit ribosomal RNA". The record is from RNAcentral.